This 229-nucleotide long non-coding RNA is filed under the name Elaeis guineensis (African oil palm). RNAcentral describes it as "long non-coding RNA (EGUI_LNC031139)". Lineage: Eukaryota; Viridiplantae; Streptophyta; Magnoliopsida; Arecales; Arecaceae. The record is from RNAcentral.
AAAAUGAUCAGCAUUGAAUCAUAAAAGCAAAGCUCAGAAGAUAAAAUAUCGAUACCAUGAUUCAUGUAUUGGAGUUGGGAUCAUAAGAACUUUUCUAAUAAGGUAAUCAAUAUGUGAUAAAACUUGAAAUUUAAACUUAAAUUUAUAAAUAAUGAGGGAACCAAUAAUACUUGAUUUGUUCAAAUACUUAACAUAUUAGACCAACUUUAAUCAAUAAUCAACUAACCCC